AGAAUCAACGCUGGCGGCGUGCCUAACACAUGCAAGUCGAACGCGAAAGUGGAGCAAUCCAUUAGUAGAGUGGCAAACGGGUGAGUAACACGUGGGCGACCUACCUCAGAGUGGGGGAUAACCCUCCGAAAGGAGGGCUAAUACCGCAUGACAUCCCGUGUUUGGAUACACGGAGAUCAAAGCCGGGGAUCGCAAGACCUGGCGCUUGGAGAGGGGCCCGCGUCCGAUUAGCUAGUUGGUGAGGUAACGGCUCACCAAGGCUCCGAU
This 267-nucleotide ribosomal RNA is filed under the name uncultured soil bacterium. Its description in RNAcentral is "partial 16S ribosomal RNA". It matches the Rfam family "Bacterial small subunit ribosomal RNA", at positions 26 to 280 of the family's 1533-position model. The record is from RNAcentral.